CUUGUUCAAGUAACACGUGCAGACCGUUUAAACACAUCUUCUGCAGAUGACAGCUCAGUGACAAUAUUGUAAUAUUAAACAACACAUAUUUCAGCUCUUCGACAAAUAAAACCGACGCGUAAUGCGAUAAAGUGCAGGAAACGAGUGUCACUCGACUCACCUAAUAAGAGAUGCAUUUGGACUAUACAGAGGGACAUGUGGACAGACAUUCACUGUAAUGAUGGACAUCAGCUCAUGGACAGAGAGAUGAAAUUGGACAUGCCAUGCUCGUCUGGAAGAGAUGAAGAUAUGUAGGAUCCAGUGACAAAUCCUGAAAAAUUGGAGCCAAAUUGGAGAAAGAAGAAGUUUGACAGGUGUUCCCAACAUUACCUGAGGGAAAAGAGGUCUCUCCUCUCGCUUUUUCUUCAGACAAUCUGCCAUAAGUCUCUUCAUGGCCUUGGGGCAAUUACUGCGCAC
This is a long non-coding RNA of Onychostoma macrolepis, 456 nucleotides long. RefSeq lists it as uncharacterized. Lineage: Eukaryota; Metazoa; Chordata; Actinopteri; Cypriniformes; Cyprinidae. The transcript has 4 exons. The record is from RefSeq and is a predicted model, not a curated record.